RNAcentral lists this signal recognition particle RNA (299 nucleotides) under Saimiri boliviensis boliviensis (Bolivian squirrel monkey). Its description in RNAcentral is "Metazoan signal recognition particle RNA (ENSSBOG00000004284.1)". It matches the Rfam family "Metazoan signal recognition particle RNA". Rfam says of the family: The signal recognition particle (SRP) is a universally conserved ribonucleoprotein. It is involved in the co-translational targeting of proteins to membranes. The record is from RNAcentral. Lineage: Eukaryota; Metazoa; Chordata; Mammalia; Primates; Cebidae.
GCUGGGCAGAGUGACGUGUGCCUGUAGUCCCAGCUACUCAGGAGGCUGAGGCUAAAGGAUCGCUUGAGUCCAUGAGUUUUGGGCUAUAGUGUGCUAUGCCAAUGGGGUGUUGACUCUAAGUUCAGCAUCAAUAUGGUGACCUCCCAGGAGCGGAGGACCACCAGGUUGCCUAAGGAGGGGUGAACCAGCCCAGGUCAGAAAUGGAGCAGGUCAGAACUUCCAUGCUGAUCAGUAGUGGGAUCGCGCCUGUGAAUAGCCACUGCACUCCAGCCUGGGCAACAUAGCAAGACCCUGUCUCU